Anguilla rostrata (American eel) is the source of this 5575-nucleotide long non-coding RNA. RefSeq lists it as uncharacterized. The record is from RefSeq and is a predicted model, not a curated record. Lineage: Eukaryota; Metazoa; Chordata; Actinopteri; Anguilliformes; Anguillidae. The transcript has 2 exons.
UAAGAAUAUAUUUGACAAAAGACAAAAAUAUAUUUGCGUUUAAAUUCUUAUCAGUGUUCCGUAUAUUCAGAACCUUCUCCAUACAUAACCCUCACAGUUCAUAAAACAUCAGCUUAAAUUGUGUACUAAUCUGAGUGAUGCUUAUACAAGCAUCUUUUAGAUUGCUGUCCAGGAACUUGGGUCCCCCCCCCCCCCCUCAUCGCCACUUAAAUUCUGGCUUUGGUAAACUAAAGAAAAUACUUUUGUAGACUGUUUUAAAAUGAGAACUGAAAAUAUUACGUGUAGUCAUAUUACUGUGUUUAAAACAGUUGCUUGGUGUAACUUAAAUGGCAAGAAUGUUGCACUAUGCAAGCAAAGGAGAUUACCUUCCAGGAAAGUGAAACACCUGUCAGUAUUCUUCUUUUCUCUAAGGAGCUGUGGCAUUGAAUUAUCCCUGAAGUACGGCUAUUGGAAAAUUGGUCAUUUUACGUGGCCGUAAAUGUAUAUGUAUUUUUUAGAAGCUAGAGCAACCAGUGCUAAAUGGCGGCCUAAAUGGUUGUUAGAACGGUCCCCUCACUUUUUUUUGGUCGUCUCCCAGACGACAGUCCAAGCUGUUCCCCCCGAUGUCUUCCUUUUCCGACAGAGGCAUGGAUUUUUGUGAUUUCCUUUAUGGACUGUAGGCUAGUAUCUGUUUUUUGUAAUUAUAAAUGUUUUUCUCCCAGCCUGUUGUGUAGCCACAUGUUUGCUUAAAAUGAGUUUGCUUAAAUCCACGCACAAACACUUCCAGGCACACCUUCCAAUGUCCUUUUUGUAGACUUCGGUGUGGACACUGAGUUAUGUGUUAGGGCUACUUCCUGAAGUAAACUACUGACUUAUAAGGGGGGGGGGGUGUUGGGUGUUGGGUGUUGGUCCUAACAUGGUUGUACAGGGUGUUGGUCCUAACAUGGUACAGUCACAUUCUGUUUGUGUAGCUGAAUAUUUAAACAGCCCUUGGUGUCCGCGCCUACCUUUAUUUACGUAAUCGCUGGAAAGUGGAGUCAUAGGGCGGAAGUUCAGUGUAAUGGCUUCGAGGUUGGUCUAGUAACCAAAAGGUUGCAGGUUCAAUUCCCCGGUAGGACACUGCUGUUGUACCCUUGAGCAAGGUACUUAACCUGCAUUGCUCCAGUAUAUAUCCAGCUAAUGUAAUGGAGCCAGACAAAGAGCCAAUAUGCCCUCUCCCCCUCCUCGUGUCAUCAUUCAUGCCUUCACUAGCCUGCAGUUCUCAGUGUUAUCCAGAUCAAAGGCUGGUGUCCAGGAACAAUGGCAAUCGGGCGAGUUGCUCAUCUUCGUUUGUUUUCGUUUUUUGUUCAGCCCAGAAUUAGGACAGCCCUUUUUCUGGAUGGUAACUGGUGACAAAACAUUGUGUGGCUUUGGAUUAUUUUUUUCCCCUCAGCUGUAGUAUUCGUUUAAAAAGACUGGCAAUGUUUUUAGAGUAUUAUAUAGUUUUGACUUCUGUUACGGCUUUUAAUUUUAAUCCCUAGGUGCUCCGCUCUUCAUCAGUAGAGUUUGUUAAAGCUGCAUGUGAAAAUAGUGUUGGGUUUCUACAUUUAUAUGGUUUCAGACUUCCGUAACCAUUUUCAGUGCAUUGAGGUGUAGCAUUGCAGUAAAACAUUGAAUUAAAACACUAGGGCCAGUUGUUUUAACUUAAGGGCAGCUUGUAGUCAUAAACUUGUUUUAAAGAUUUUUGUGUAUUGUGUAAAAUAAUUUUGGGUGUGCAUGUGUAAGGUGACAUUGGUUUUGCGGAAAUUCGCAUAAACAGGGUUGUUUUACAACAGAGGCUAGGCCCAAGUAGUGAGCAGGGGAAAUGUAUUACUAUUAUGUGUGAAGUGCUCCAUGAUGCUAAAUUAGAAAAAUUUUAAUUGAAAGAGACUGUUGCAACAGAAGUGUUGUGAUCUCAUUCUGGCUCUGAAAAAGUGUUUUUUUGUUUUUUUUGUUUGUUUUUUAUUUUUUUAAAUCCUACGUUGUGUGCAGAGUUGACGUGCGCUUGUGUGGGGAAAGAUGUGUGGUGUUUUGGGGGUGAAGUAGCUCUGUGUGAUCUGUGUCGGUCUGCGCUGUGUCUGGAGGUACCUGUGGUCCAGUGCUGGGUUCGCCUCUCGACCCAACGUAUGUGAGUACCUGUGGUGUUGCAAAGAAAUAAAUCUGGGCGUUUUCUCCCAACACUUCAACGUAAAUCUUUUAACCAAAAGUCCUUGACGCAAAGUGACCCAAGUGCCUUGUUGCUCUCAUUGGACUGGCUGUUUCAGUGGUAUGCAGAGAAAAAUGAAUCCCCCUGAAUUCGAUGGCGUAAGAUUUGUGUUCCUGUGUCGUCUGCACGGUCCAUCUCACCUCAGCAGUUACGUUGGGGCUUGAAAACUGGUGUUUAUUGUAGGGCCAGUAAAAUCUUUAAAUGAUAAUGCAUUCAACGCCGUUAUUGGGCAAGACCGGCCCCGUAGACUAUACUUUUUUUUUGUUGUUGUUUAUAAAAUUGUUUUUAUUAAGAGCUAAAAAGGCUCAGUUCUAAUCAUGUGAAUGGCUCUCAGCCGUCGGGUGGAUCUGGUGAAGACCAGUCCCGGAGCACAGACGGUUUGGUGGGUGUUUGGCGCUCGUUCUGUUCGCGGGUUGAAGCAGCCUGCGGCAAGUGCAGGUAAUCUGGCUGGACUCGUGUGAGGGAGAGAAACGACCUAACCAGAGGUUGCGCUGCUCUCGCGUACUCUGUUUUUUUCUUUCUCUUCAGAGGUGCAUCUUGAAGAAGCUCUCCAUGUAGUACAGAGGCAACGUGAGCAUCGAUGCUGAGAGCAGCAUCACCCACAUUGGAAUGUUGGUGAGGUUGCAAGCUUGUUGUUUUGGUCCUUUUUCAAUGUAGUUGGCAAGGAGAGUGUUUUGAAAUCCACAGUAGACCUUCAACAUCAGGAGUGUUCUGUUGUAGGAUUCGGGUGCGUGCGGUUGUAGGUCUCGGCUAAGUCAUUUGAAGCAGUCUGGAUCCUGUGACACUACAUCUAUUUGAAUCAGUCUACCAGGCAUUGGUGCCUUCACCAAGCAGUGUAAAUGAGUCUGUUAACUGUGUCAAGUAACGUUGAGUGAUUUUGUUUGUUCAUUUCCUUCAUUUUUAUUUUUUUCCCCUUUGUUCUUCCCAACUUUGGGAUGACCGGUUUCCCCCGCGCCUAUUGGUGAAUCUUCCACUAUUGAUUUGAGAGAGCCUGGGGCUGAGGAAAAUGCGUCCCCUCGUCUGGAGUGGGGCUGUACCAUAUAUCCAGUCACGGUUUUUAAGGUGUAAUAACCACUGCCAUGGGACGUGUAGGCCAUUUUUUGUCUUUUUUAUUGUUUGUUUUUAUUUUAGAAUUCUUGAUGUGGUAGUAAACAACCAAACAUCAGUGGCCACGUGAAAUGCUUCCUGGAAAAGACAUCACUGAUAUCUAUUCAGUGUUGGCAAGACAGCUAAUCGGCAGCAAGGUUAUACAGCUUCUUGGUGAUUGUGAUUUAUUUAUUUACCUUUUUAUAUCACGCUGUAAGCUGCAAGGCCUUGCUGCUGAUUGCCCAUCUUAUCAGCACCCAAAAGAUCUUGGUGUUUUUUUAACCACUUACAACAGUUCCUUAACAGGAUAAGCCACCCAGCAGCACAGCUUGAAGGGAUUUUGAGUGGUGGUUAUCAUUUUGAGAAGAAGGGUAUUCGAAGCAUUGCUUAACUGUUCAUUAGGUGGUGGUGGGGAGGGGUGAUUUAAUUUCCCUUGCUUUCUUUGAGUGGAAAUUAAGUUGUUUUUGAAAGCUCGAUCAUGGACGUGGUCAGGGAAAGACAUAUAGAUUGAUAUUGACAUGGUUUCUGUAUAUGAAGGCUGUUACACUGAUUGGUUAUAUUUUAAUGGGAACUAUCAUUUUAUCCUAGCGCAGGAAUAUCAUAUCAGUAGCUGCAACUAGAGAUAUGUAGACCAGGAUCAGCAGUCACAUGGGGACUGAACUGUUUAAUGUGGGGUUUGGCGGUGUGGAAUUGGCACGCUAGGGGUGAGCCUUUUAGGCUUUUGUUUGUGUGCUUAAAUACAGAAUGAAUGCUGUCUUUAGAACACCCAUUUUUCCAUACGCAUAUAUUGCAUUAUCGUGUCCUAUCCAGUCCAGAGCGUUUUCGUUUGGACAUGGGAAUGACAUCACCAUUUACUUUUUUUUUUUUUUUUUUUUUUUUUUUACAUGAAAUGAUCUUCCUUUUCAGUUCAGGUAACCAUUGACUUUCUUAUUUAUUUUUUUGUGAUCUGAAAUUUUCAGUGUUUUAAAUGUAUGGGGGGGGGGGGGGUGGUGGCAGGGACUUGAACUCUUUGUCAACUACCAGUGGUCCCCCAAGCAAGAUUAUGUUGAUGCCCAAUUUCAUGCUGGGGUUUAUUUUGCUUUUGUUUUGUAGGUGUUUUGUCAAAUAUCUGUAUAUAUCUUUGUGUUUCUGUGUUCACACAUGAUCAGCCUCUUUAAGCUCCAGACCAAGAUGGCUGCAGUUUCCUUUUCAUCCGCAGCAAAUUCAAGCCUUGGAAACAAGUUUGGCUUUAGCCUCUUUAGGCAAACAAUGACUUUAAUUUAGCAAUUAGUGACAGUUCAUUUUUUUUGGGUCGGAUGGGGGGGGGGGGUUAUUUCAGUUGUAGUGUGUCUUUUUGAUUGGGUCACACAGCUUUUAUCUGUGUAGAAGAGCACAGCUUUUGGUGUGCUAGGAGACAGGUUCAUUUUUCCUUGUCAGAUGCCGUUGGUAUCUUGACUGAAAUCAAUGCAAUUUUUUUUCUUUUUUUUGAGAAUUGGGCAAUGUACACACAACCUCUGGAAUUAUACUUUCACUGCACAAGCUGCUUAGGAGUUGAAGUGUAUUUUUUGUUUUGGAGCACAAAUCCCCAGAUGCCCUCAUUUAUGGCCAAGUUGACAGGCCAUCAGAAACCUGUGUAAAUAUCUAAAAAAUCCUUCAUCGCACUCACAGGCUAUCUGGGCCAAUCAGAAAACAUAACACUGAAACUGAAAUCAUGUUGAAAAUGUGAACUGUAAGUGUUGAAACGCCAAAAACCAGCAGGCCGAGGAACUGAGUAAGGUUCUCGGCCUAACGGAUUGAGGAUGGUUGGGUUGUGGGGGUUAUUGUUUUGAAACUUCAGGAGUGCGUACGAAGAGAACUCAACACAUUUAAGCCCGCCAUGGAAAAUUAGAAAAGAAAAAACCCGAAGUGUAGCUGCUGCGCAAUUUCAGCCAGAGAAACAUUCAUUUUAACAGCCUCUCAAUACCAAAGCUGACACACAUAUGGUGGGAGGUUUGGAAUGUCUUGAGUGUGCGUGUACUUGCGUGUGUAACAUUGAAUUUGUUGACGAUACACUUGCACUACUGUCGCUUCAACCCGUACUCGCAUAGAUUUCACUGCGGCUUUGUACUGUAGAGACUAGGUGCGUGAGGUUCAUGCAAUGACUUGCUUUGUUUAAAAAAAAAAAAAAAGAAUAAAUUAAAAAUAGGUCCUUCAAAAUCUAACAUGAAAGUUAUCGUACCGAAUAUCAGAAUGCUGAUUGUGUUGUAUCAUUGCAAAGGUGGGAAACAAAAAAUCUAAUAAAAAUUGAGCUGUAACCUUUUUAAUAAA